RNAcentral lists this ribosomal RNA (253 nucleotides) under uncultured bacterium. RNAcentral's name for it is "partial 16S ribosomal RNA". It matches the Rfam family "Bacterial small subunit ribosomal RNA", at positions 524 to 776 of the family's 1533-position model. The record is from RNAcentral.
UACGGAGGGGGCUAGCGUUGUUCGGAAUUAUUGGGCGUAAAGCGCACGUAGGUGGCUUUGUAAGUUAGAGGUGAAAGCCCGGGGCUCAACUCCGGAAUUGCCUUUAAGACUGCAUCGCUAGAACGUCGGAGAGGUAAGUGGAAUUCCGAGUGUAGAGGUGAAAUUCGUAGAUAUCGGAAGGAACAUCAGUGGCGAAAGCGACUUCCUGGACCAAUACUGACGCUCAUGUGCGAAAGCGUGGGGAGCAAACAGG